GGACAGAUGGGAGCUUGCUCCCUGAUGUUAGCGGCGGACGGGUGAGUAACACGUGGGUAACCUGCCUGUAAGACUGGGAUAACUCCGGGAAACCGGGGCUAAUACCGGAUGCUUGUUUGAACCGCAUGGUUCAAACAUAAAAGGUGGCUUCGGCUACCACUUACAGAUGGACCCGCGGCGCAUUAGCUAGUUGGUGAGGUAACGGCUCACCAAGGCAACGAUGCGUAGCCGACCUGAGAGGGUGAUCGGCCACACUGGGACUGAGACACGGCCCAGACUCCUACGGGAGGCAGCAGUAGGGAAUCUUCCGCAAUGGACGAAAGUCUGACGGAGCAACGCCGCGUGAGUGAUGAAGGUUUUCGGAUCGUAAAGCUCUGUUGUUAGGGAAGAACAAGUACCGUUCGAAUAGGGCGGUACCUUGACGGUACCUAACCAGAAAGCCACGGCUAACUACGUGCCAGCAGCCGCGGUAAUACGUAGGUGGCAAGCGUUGUCCGGAAUUAUUGGGCGUAAAGGGCUCGCAGGCGGUUUCUUAAGUCUGAUGUGAAAGCCCCCGGCUCAACCGGGGAGGGUCAUUGGAAACUGGGGAACUUGAGUGCAGAAGAGGAGAGUGGAAUUCCACGUGUAGCGGUGAAAUGCGUAGAGAUGUG
This 650-nucleotide ribosomal RNA is filed under the name Bacillus sp. 204(2013). RNAcentral's name for it is "bacterial SSU rRNA". It matches the Rfam family "Bacterial small subunit ribosomal RNA", at positions 68 to 700 of the family's 1533-position model. Lineage: Bacteria; Bacillati; Bacillota; Bacilli; Caryophanales; Bacillaceae. The record is from RNAcentral.